UCCUACGGGAGGCAGCAGUGGGGAAUUUUCCGCAAUGGGCGAAAGCCUGACGGAGCAAUGCCGCGUGAAGGUAGAAGGCCUACGGGUCAUGAACUUCUUUUCCCGGAGAAGAAACAAUGACGGUAUCUGAGGAAUAAGCAUCGGCUAACUCUGUGCCAGCAGCCGCGGUAAU
Molecule: ribosomal RNA, 172 nt
Filed under: uncultured Weissella sp.
Lineage: Bacteria; Bacillati; Bacillota; Bacilli; Lactobacillales; Lactobacillaceae
Description: partial 16S ribosomal RNA
Rfam family: Bacterial small subunit ribosomal RNA
Source: RNAcentral